RNAcentral lists this long non-coding RNA (525 nucleotides) under Parus major (Great Tit). RNAcentral's name for it is "lncRNA (ENSPMJG00000011343.1)". Lineage: Eukaryota; Metazoa; Chordata; Aves; Passeriformes; Paridae. The record is from RNAcentral.
CCCUUCCAUUGUUUGGACUAAACCUUCCCAGAUUUACUUACUUCCUUUUGAUGUCUGGCAAUGUUUGUUUAUUAGCGCCAGUGGCCUGUGUUAACUCUGAGUAAGUCUUUGACUAAAUCCCAUUCUCUGCCUUUCCUCCCUUCACGGGCUUGUGAGCUGAUAAACUUCAGUGCUGGCUUUCAAACCCAGUGAGGUUAAACAUGAACUUCUUUUACACCUGCCUGCUUUCCCAGCUAAUGGACCCUGGUGGCUGCUGAGAGAGGAGUCCUUUUAUGGCAAAGAGAAGGCUGCAAAAGUUCAUUUCGUUUCUGUGCUUAAGUACCAUCUUGGGACUCAGGGUUUAGACAAUCUGAAGUAUGAAUCAAGAGAAAGAAGAUGAGAGGCUGUUUGGGAAAUGGUUUAUUUUCUAGGUGGGAAGGCACACCAGCUGACUGGGUUUCAUCGUGUGGCUAUUUCAGCAAAAUUUUAAGGAGUCAGAUGUCUUGCCUAGGAGCUGUCCCUUCCAAGCUGCACAGCUAUGGGUGA